GGACGAACGCUGGCGGCGUGGAUUAGGCAUGCAAGUCGGACGGUAGGGCUUUAUCGUAAGAUAGAGUUUGAGAGUGGCGAACGGGUGAGUAACACGUAGGAAUCUACCCUUAAGACGGGGACAACCCAGGGAAACUUGGGCUAAUACCGGAUGAGAGUGCGAGAGAUUGCAUUUAAAAGGAUGGCGAAAGUUGUCGCUUAGGGAUGAGCCUGCGGUCUAUUAGUUAGUUGGUGAGGUAAGAGCUCACCAAGGCGAUGAUAGAUAGGCGGCCUUAACGGGUGGUCGCCCACACUGGGAUUGAGAUACGGCCCAGACUCCUACGGGAGGCAGCAGUCGAGAAUAGUCUACAAUGGCCGGAAGGCUGAUAGUGCGACGCCGCGUGAACGAGGGAGCCCUUCGGGGUGUAAAGUUCUUUUCUAUACGAGCAGUGCUAUAUAUAUGGAUAGUAUAUAUAGAGGGAUAGUAGUAUAGGAAUAAGCAACGGCUAACUCCGUGCCAGCAGCCGCGGUAACACGGGGGUUGCGAGCGUUGUCCGGAAUUACUAGGCGUAAAGGGCAGGUAGGCGGAUCUACGAGUUUUUUGUUAAAGGCUACGGCUCAACUGUAGUGGAGCAGGAGAUACUGUAGGUCUGGAAUGCGGUAGGGGAAGACAGAAUUCCUGGUGUAGCGGUGGAAUGCGCAGAGAUCAGGAGGAAUACCGAAGGCGAAGGCAGUCUUCUAGGCCGUAAUUGACGCUUAACUGCGAAGGUGUGGGGAUCAAACAGGAUUAGAUACCCUGGUAGUCCACACAGUAAACGAUAAUCACUAGAUGUCGGGUUCUAGAUGGAUUCGGUGUCGGAGCAAACGCGAUAAGUGAUUCGCCUGGGGAGUACGAUCGCAAGGUUGAAACUCAAAGGAAUUGACGGGGGCCCGCACAAGCGGUGGAGCAUGUGGUUUAAUUCGAGGCAACGCGAAGAACCUUACCCGGUUUUGACAUCCACGGGAGGCUUCAGAGAUGGAGCUGUGCCGGCAUAAGCUGGAGCCGUGAGACAGGUGCUGCAUGGCUGUCGUCAGCUCGUGUCGUGAGAUGUUGGGUUAAGUCCCGCAACGAGCGCAACCCUCAUUCGAUGUUGCCGGCGUAAAGUUGGGAACUCUUCGAAAACUGCCCGUGUAAGCGGGAGGAAGGUGGGGAUGACGUCAAGUCAGCAUGGCCCUUACGCCUGGGGCUACACACAUGCUACAAUGGACGCUAACAAAGGGCAGCAAUACCGCGAGGUGGAGCGAAUCUCACAAAUGCGUCCUCAGUUCGGAUUGUAGUCUGCAACUCGACUACAUGAAGUCGGAAUCGCUAGUAACCGCAGGUCAGCUAAACUGCGGUGAAUACGUUCCCGGGCCU
RNAcentral lists this ribosomal RNA (1374 nucleotides) under uncultured bacterium. RNAcentral describes it as "bacterial SSU rRNA". It matches the Rfam family "Bacterial small subunit ribosomal RNA", at positions 27 to 1381 of the family's 1533-position model. The record is from RNAcentral.